Molecule: ribosomal RNA, 253 nt
Filed under: uncultured bacterium
Lineage: Bacteria
Description: partial 16S ribosomal RNA
Rfam family: Bacterial small subunit ribosomal RNA
Source: RNAcentral
UACGUAGGGUGCAAGCGUUAAUCGGAAUUACUGGGCGUAAAGCGUGCGCAGGCGGUUAUGUAAGACAGUUGUGAAAUCCCCGGGCUCAACCUGGGAAUUGCAUCUGUGACUGCAUAGCUAGAGUACGGUAGAGGGGGAUGGAAUUCCGCGUGUAGCAGUGAAAUGCGUAGAUAUGCGGAGGAACACCGAUGGCGAAGGCAGCCCCCUGGGUCAAGAUUGACGCUCAUGCACGAAAGCGUGGGGAGCAAACAGG